GCAGGUCAGCAUACUGCCGUGAAUACGUUCCCGGGCCUUGUACACACCGCCCGUCACACCAUGAGAGUUGGGGAUACCCAAAGCCCGUGAGCCAACUUUUAAAGAGGCAGCGGUCUAAGGUAGAAUCAAUGAUUGGGGUGAAGUCGUAACAAGGUACC
Molecule: ribosomal RNA, 158 nt
Filed under: uncultured bacterium
Lineage: Bacteria
Description: partial 16S ribosomal RNA
Rfam family: Bacterial small subunit ribosomal RNA
Source: RNAcentral